GGGGGUAUAGUGUAGUGGUAACACGGCGGAUUCCAAACCCGCAACUCGAGGUUCGAUUCCUUGUACCCCUGCCA
Molecule: transfer RNA, 74 nt
Filed under: Pseudomonadota bacterium
Lineage: Bacteria; Pseudomonadati; Pseudomonadota
Description: Proteobacteria bacterium (freshwater metagenome) tRNA-Trp
Rfam family: tRNA
About the family: Transfer RNA (tRNA) molecules are approximately 80 nucleotides in length. Their secondary structure includes four short double-helical elements and three loops (D, anti-codon, and T loops).
Source: RNAcentral